GCAGACAGCCUCUCUUCAGGCCCCCUGGACUUACCUUUGGAUUUCUGAGGUUGGUUUUGGAUUUGACCUGGCUUGAUGAUCCUGAACCUCAAAGGAGCCUGUUGCCAUCGUCAGCCAUUGCGGCAGCACUAUUCCCUUGAAGUCUGAGCCGUGAUAUUGAACAAGAACCUCUUCUACAGUAUUCAUUAAAAGGAGAAUUAAAAGAAACCCUGCAGGCACCACUAACUUGACACUGAUUCAGGUUGAGCAUAUGAACAAGGAUCUCCUGUUUCGCAGGUAAAUUCUAGGGACACAUUGUCAGAGAGGGAACUUUAUUGAGAAAGAGCUUUUCUUGAUAAACCAAGGAUUCCUGACAAUUGAGGAUUCCUUCUCAGGCUGUACUAGAAAUCUCACAUCACACUGAUAGUCACUUUCACAAUGUUGAUUUUUGGUCAAGCUGGUCCAAGUUGAAGUAUUCUGGUUUUACUCUCAGGUGAUAAAUCUAAAAAGAUGAGUUUAUGGAAGUAGCAUUGUAAACUGGAAAAUCCUAAAAUGAGUAGCCUUCUAAUGGAAGUAAGUUAAACACAAGGAGCAGGAUCUGUAUUUGUGCAUAA
This is a long non-coding RNA of Neopsephotus bourkii (Bourke's parrot), 593 nucleotides long. RefSeq lists it as uncharacterized. The record is from RefSeq and is a predicted model, not a curated record. The transcript has 3 exons. Lineage: Eukaryota; Metazoa; Chordata; Aves; Psittaciformes; Psittacidae.